UUAGAUACCACAUCAGUUCUCAGGGCAAAGCCUACCCAUUGCACUUCAGGUGGGAAGGGUGACCCCUGCGAUUUCCCCAAAUGUGGGAAAGUCGACUGUAAAUUUUGUAGGAUGCAGGAGAUGAUUGAUCGGCUGG
This 136-nucleotide small nuclear RNA is filed under the name Eptatretus burgeri (inshore hagfish). RNAcentral describes it as "U1 spliceosomal RNA (ENSEBUG00000000246.1)". It matches the Rfam family "U1 spliceosomal RNA", at positions 22 to 166 of the family's 166-position model. Rfam says of the family: U1 is a small nuclear RNA (snRNA) component of the spliceosome (involved in pre-mRNA splicing). Its 5' end forms complementary base pairs with the 5' splice junction, thus defining the 5' donor site of an intron. There are significant differences in sequence and secondary structure between metazoan and yeast U1 snRNAs, the latter being much longer (568 nucleotides as compared to 164 nucleotides in human). Lineage: Eukaryota; Metazoa; Chordata; Myxini; Myxiniformes; Myxinidae. The record is from RNAcentral.